GAGUUUGAUCGUGGCUCAGAUUGAACGCUGGCGGCAUGCCUUACACAUGCAAGUCGAACGGCAGCAUGAUCUAGCUUGCUAGAUUGAUGGCGAGUGGCGAACGGGUGAGUAAUACAUCGGAACGUGCCCUGUAGUGGGGAUAACUAGUCGAAGAUUAGCUAAUACCGCAUACGACCUGAGGGUGAAAGUGGGGGACCGGCAAGGACCUCAUGCUAUAGGAGCGGCCGAUGUCUGAUUAGCUAGUUGGU
This 248-nucleotide ribosomal RNA is filed under the name uncultured microorganism. RNAcentral describes it as "partial 16S ribosomal RNA". It matches the Rfam family "Bacterial small subunit ribosomal RNA", at positions 9 to 253 of the family's 1533-position model. The record is from RNAcentral.